CCAAUAGCGUAUAUUAAAGUUGUUGCAGUUAAAAAGCUCGUAGUUGAAUUUUGGAUUCUACCAAUUGGUCCAUCUUUUAGAUGAGUACUGGUUGUGUGGGGUCUAUCCGCCUGGUGAUACGUAAUGUCCUUUAUUGGAUGUUGCGGGUAGUCAGGACCUUUACCUUGAAAAAAUUAGAGUGUUUAAAGCAGGCUUAUGCCGGAAUACAUUAGCAUGGAAUAAUAGAAUAGGACGAAGUUGUUUUAUUUUGUUGGUUUCUAGGACAACCGUAAUGAUUAAUAGGGAUAGUUGGGGGAAUUAGUAUUCAAUUGUCAGAGGUGAAAUUCUUGGAUUUAUUGAAGACUAACUACUGCGAAAGCAUUUGCCAAGGAUGUUUUCAUUAAUCAAGAACGAAAGUUAGGGGAUCGAAGACGAUCAGAUACCGUCGUAGUCUUGACCAUAAACUAUGCCGACUAGGGAUCGGGCGAUGUUGUUUCCAUGACUCGCUCGGCACCUUAUG
RNAcentral lists this ribosomal RNA (499 nucleotides) under uncultured Glomeromycotina. RNAcentral describes it as "partial small subunit ribosomal RNA". It matches the Rfam family "Eukaryotic small subunit ribosomal RNA", at positions 591 to 1092 of the family's 1831-position model. Lineage: Eukaryota; Fungi; Glomeromycota. The record is from RNAcentral.